RNAcentral lists this ribosomal RNA (483 nucleotides) under uncultured bacterium. RNAcentral describes it as "bacterial SSU rRNA". It matches the Rfam family "Bacterial small subunit ribosomal RNA", at positions 82 to 560 of the family's 1533-position model. The record is from RNAcentral.
GCUUCCAAUCUAGUGGACGAACGGGUGAGUAAUACAUCGGAACGUACCGUGUAGUGGGGGAUAACGUAGCGAAAGUUACGCUAAUACCGCAUACGAUCCACGGAUGAAAGCAGGGGGACCUUCGGGCCUUGUGCUAUACGAGCGGCCGAUGUCUGAUUAGCUAGUUGGUGAGGUAAAGGCUCACCAAGGCGACGAUCAGUAGCGGGUCUGAGAGGAUGAUCCGCCACACUGGGACUGAGACACGGCCCAGACUCCUACGGGAGGCAGCAGUGGGGAAUUUUGGACAAUGGGCGCAAGCCUGAUCCAGCCAUGCCGCGUGUCUGAAGAAGGCCUUCGGGUUGUAAAGGACUUUUGUCAGGGAGCAAAACUUACUGGUUAAUACCUGGUGAGGUUGAGAGUACCUGAAGAAUAAGCACCGGCUAACUACGUGCCAGCAGCCGCGGUAAUACGUAGGGUGCAAGCGUUAAUCGGAAUUACUGGGCG